CUCCCAAACUGCCCAUCAUCUCCUGAGCACGGCGACUCCAUCAUUCAGUCUGAUGGCAGAGUCAAAGAGAAAGAGUUGGAGAUGGAGAGAGUUACAGAAAGAGAGCGAGAGAGAGAGAAGAGGCCCUUUAUUAAACCUGCUGCUAAUUGAGAUAGCACGAAAAUAAUGGGGAGUGACACUUUAAUGAAGACAUGCUACGUGUUACCACUUCUUCCUUCCUUCCCCUCCGCCACAGAGGAGGAGGAGGAGGUGCAAUGAAGAGAAUAAGGAACUGGGGAGGGACGAGGAGAGCAUAAAGAAAGAUCGAAGGAGGCUCGCUACCGCUGAUAGGGAAGGAACAGAGUGAAGAGGUGGUCAUCAGAAGGUGAUUGUGUUUACAAGGACAGACAGAUGGGAAAAGAUGAGGGAAGUCCUUCAAAGUGAGGACAUUUGGUUGCAACAGGUUCGUAUAGAGUUAGUACUAGUACAGAUGUCAUCUGUCUGUUCUGUUCUGACCUGAUCUGUGCUUUGUAAAAGUUAUUUUAUGAUCAAGUCUUAUUAAUUUACUAUUUUUGUGCAUUCUACCUUGAGCUACUUUGUCUAGUUCUUUUUUUAACUGUUGAUUUUCUAAAUUCCUUUCAACAAACACUGUAGAGCUAAAAAUUCAUGAAUUUAUGUUGUUGUGACUGUUUAUAACUAAAAUCACUCACAAAUCAGGUCCAAAAUUGAGAUGAAAGAUCAGCAGAUGAGAAAUGUAGAGAACAAUCUUUACAGUUUUGAGGUGUGGUUUAUUGCACUGUGGCAACAAAUGGCAAUUACAACAUGGUAGUAGAAGUUUAAACAUAGUAUAACAAGUCAGCAAAUUCACUGCCAGCCACACAGAAAUAUCUACAUAAAGUUUGCUAACAUUAGUCAACAUAAGCUCCUGGUCCAACCCCAAGUCAAAUGCAAUUUGUCUGUCAGUGGCCCACUGACGAUGUCAAGUGACAUAGUAUAAAGAGCAUGUGUAGGUGGUGGGGUGGAUGGAUGGCUCAAACAAACACAGGACUCUAACCCAGGAGAAUGCUGUACAUGUCCCAAAAACAAUUUCUUUGAAGCAGCGUAUGUUAUGUCAGCUAUGUAAUGUCACUUACAACCUUUUCCUAACCAAGUAGUUUUUGUGCCUAAACCUAACCCAAACUCAAACCAUUUCACACUGUUAACCAUGCAAGCUUUAUUUUGAAAGUUUUAGAAAUCCCUGAGAGCAUUAAAUUGGGCAUUGGUAUGUCUUUUUAAUGAAUUAAACUUUUCAUUUGCAAGAGGAAGAA
This is a long non-coding RNA of Dicentrarchus labrax (European seabass), 1286 nucleotides long. RefSeq lists it as uncharacterized. The record is from RefSeq and is a predicted model, not a curated record. Lineage: Eukaryota; Metazoa; Chordata; Actinopteri; Moronidae. The transcript has 2 exons.